RNAcentral lists this transfer RNA (75 nucleotides) under Cordylochernes scorpioides. Its description in RNAcentral is "tRNA-Gly". It matches the Rfam family "tRNA". Rfam says of the family: Transfer RNA (tRNA) molecules are approximately 80 nucleotides in length. Their secondary structure includes four short double-helical elements and three loops (D, anti-codon, and T loops). Lineage: Eukaryota; Metazoa; Arthropoda; Arachnida; Pseudoscorpiones; Chernetidae. The record is from RNAcentral.
CCGUUGGCUUUUGGUUCAGUGGUAGAAUGCUUGCCUGCCACGCGGGCGCCCCGGGUUCGAUUCCUGGCCGAUGCA